This 339-nucleotide small nuclear RNA is filed under the name Oryctolagus cuniculus (rabbit). Its description in RNAcentral is "7SK RNA". It matches the Rfam family "7SK RNA". From Rfam's summary of the family: 7SK was discovered as an abundant small nuclear RNA in the mid-70s but a possible function has only recently been suggested. Two independent studies have found that 7SK RNA binds the CDK9/cyclin T complex (known as elongation factor P-TEFb). The record is from Rfam by way of RNAcentral. Lineage: Eukaryota; Metazoa; Chordata; Mammalia; Lagomorpha; Leporidae.
UGACGUGAGGGCGAUCUGGCUGUGACAUCUGUCACCCCAUUGAUCGCCAGGGUUGAUUUGGCUGAUCUGGCUGGCUAGGCGGGUGUCACCUUCCUCCCUCACCGCUCCAAGUGCAUCCCUCCCAAAGCUGCGUGCUCAGUCAAAGAGAACGAGCUUCCCCACUGGAGGAGGACCGGUCUUCGGUCAAGGGUAUACCAGUAGCUGCGCUCCCCUGCUAGAACCUCCAAACAAGCUCUCAAGGUCUUUCUACAUCUUUUUUUAAAGAUUUUUUAUUUAUUUGAAAGUCAGAGUCACACAGAGUGAGGAAAGGCAGAGAGAAAGAGAGAGAGAGAGUUCCUC